Molecule: RNA transcript, 3466 nt
Organism: Ipomoea triloba (trilobed morning glory)
Lineage: Eukaryota; Viridiplantae; Streptophyta; Magnoliopsida; Solanales; Convolvulaceae
Exons: 6
Source: RefSeq, a predicted model, not a curated record
GGUGUUUAUUUUCAUCAUAUCAUGGUCUGUCUUAAAGACUUUGCUCACAUUACCCUUCCUGCGGGUUCUUGCAGAUUUGAUUAUCUACUUGCGGUCUGUGAGCGAGAGAGAUUACUACUUGAGAAAGAGGAACAGAAGGAUAAGCAACAAAAGAAAGGAGGAUGCUACAAUGAUGAUGAUGAUGAUGAUCAGUACUAUUUAGGUGGGGUUGAUCUCAAUCAGAGUUUGAUCACGCCUUCACUGCCUGAUAAGGAGGAAUGGAAGAAAAAACUGAUGGGUUCAUUUUAUGGCUGCUUAUCUUGGCACAAUGAUGUUGUUGUGAAGCCUGUGGUGCAAAGUAAAGCACUAAGCAACACCCCAGAGUCUGUUAUUUCACAUUCCAGUGGUGAUGACAAAGCUUCUUUAAAGUAUGAUGAGGCUGUGGCAGAGAAGGUCAAUAAUUCCAAGAAGCGAAAGAGGGGAAGUAGUAGGGUGCCUAACAACGGUCCAGAACCACCACCAGGACUACCAGUUGAAUUCAGAAAUUUCAUUCUCCAAUUGGCUGGUAAUCGGGCAGUACGUGUUGAGAAAUUGGUGAUUCAAAAGGGGCUUACCAACACAGAUGUAAACAGCACCCAGAAUAGGCUGUCAAUCCCAGCAAGGCUUGUGAGGGAGGAAUUCGUUACGGAAGAAGAGCAUCUUCUACUUUGUCAGCACAAUGGGAAGAAUGUGUGUUCUAUAGAAGUUCCAUUGAUCACACCAAUGAUGGAAGUAGCAAAGGUCCAGCAGGACUUGCAUCUUUAUGAAUAAGCUGGCCCUUUGAAGGGGAAUCAGUCUUGGUGGUGAAAUUGCCAAAUGGCAGUAUAAUGCAUUAAUGCUUUGGUGAAUUCAAAAGUUCAGGUUACUCACUAAAAUAGCAAUCAGGUAAGGUAUGGUAAGGUUUUAGUCAUUUGACAUUUCCAUUAUUACUAUGGAAUAUAGUAUGUAUCAAUGGAAAAUUUGUAUCCUAAUGCAGCAAUAUGUGGCUUUUUUUUUGUCUCAAACACAUCUGUAUAGCCUGCGGAAUUCACAAACAUUAAUUAUUGAGAAACAAGAAACAGGCAGAAAGGUUUUGGAGUUUUAAGAGCCGUGGCCAAAGAUAUUUCUGAAUGGAUUCCAAUAUCGGCUACCUGUAUAGUUAGGAAAAUCUCAGUUUUCACUGCCCACAAAAUAGGAAGUUCUGCAGUAGUAAAAUGCUUACAUCUCGAGAAGAUGCAGUUGUAGUGACUCGGGCAAUGGCGGCAGAGGCACCCAGCCAAGUCUCACAACAAUACACCCCACAUUUGUGUCAACCUUAUCAUAAAAUUUAUAUGUCUUCUCCUUUUCGCAUUAGAGGGACUGCUGCUUGUUCUAUCAACUAUGUUACCAAACUGAUUGUUUUGGCCAUCUAAAUUUGACUCCAUAGACCCAUGGUCAGAUUUAAGUGAAUCAACAGAUAUGCUGGAUUGCUCUGUGAUAUCUUGAAUUUCCAAAGACACUGGGCCAUCUUGUUCUACCUUCAGGUUAAAGUUUCUUUCUUCAAUUUCAAUCUGUGGCUUAACGUUGAUUCCUGAAUCUUCAAUUUGAUAACUUUCCGGCUCUUCAAUAAUUAUACUUGUUCUCCCUUCUUCCAGCUUUACACUUGUACUUGACUUGAGUGGAAAUUUUGCAGCAAGUGCCAUGAAAGCAGAACUGCGAUAGUUGGUCAAUUUCUAUGUUGCAACUAGCAGUUUUUGUUUACUAUGAGAAGGCUUAGAAAAUAAAAGUCGAAAUCUAUAAAAGCAAGAAGUUAGCAGCAAGUGCCUUUGUCUCAUCUGUUCCAUGUAUUCCUUCACUAUUUAUAUCUUGCAUCAGAAGCAUCCAAACUCUAGUUGUCUCAUCAUCAAGUUCAACUUUAGCCCUUGGUUGGCGUUUUCUAAUCUGACCAAAUGCACCUUCAAAAGGCACAAUAGUUCCAUCUUGUUGAUGAAGAACAAUGGCAUUUGUUCCUUGGUUGUGAUAAGCAAUUUGGUUGCUUUCUGCAUUAAUUAUAUUGAGAUGAUUGAACUGUUCUACAAUUUGAUCAAAUGGAGACGGACCACUCCAUGCUUGAUCUGGCAGAGGACCUGCACAUGGUGUUGCCUGACAAAAUAAGCAAAACACAAAUAGUUCUUUAUCUACAAAAUGAUAGUGUGCUUUACAUACCAUUUGCAGUACUGUGCUGCUUUACAACAAAAAUGAUAGUGUGCUUUACAUACCAUAAGCAAAACACAAAUAGUUCUUUAUCUACAAAAAUGAUAGUGUGCUUUUCAAAACACAAUAUAUAUUUGGGGCCUCUGCACCAUUGACUUUGUUCCUUCUUGCUUUCUUUUUUGUUAUUAUUGGGUGAGUGCCAGUUGCCAGAGCUUUAUUUGAUGUAUGGUCACUAUGGUGUGGGAAUGACAACUAGUAAUGCUUCCAUCUUGUAAAUCUGACUGCUUUGGAUUGUUAUUGGUUUAAAAAAUCUUAGAGAACCAAGACAUUAGAAGUUAAGCAGCCACUAGGGUGAUUCUAAAAUUUACCAUCUGCCAGGCUUCUUUAUGAACCAAUAUACUGAGAAAGAAUUUCUAAAUUUAUUGACUGAGUGCUGUUAUGAACUGUCUCGGAAACUAUCAUUAGUUUUAGUGGAUCUUAAUCAGGCUUUGGUUUCAUAUUGGUUAAUGUGCUUUCUUGUAGUCUUGGUGGUGAAAUUUCCAAAUGGCACUAUAAUGCAUUAAUGCUUUGGUGAAUUCAAAAGUUCAGGUUGCUCACAAAAGUAGCAAUCAGGUAAGGUAAGGUAAGGUUUUAGUCAUUUGACAUUUCCAUUAUUACUAUGGAAUAUAGUAUGUAUCAAUGGCAAAUUUGUAUCCUAAUGCAGCAAUAUGUGGCUUUUUUGUCUUGAACACAUCUGUACAGCCUGCGGAAUUCACAAACAUUAAUUACUCAGAAACAAGAAACAAGCAGAAAGGUUUUGGAGUUUUAAGGACUUGCCUUCAGAAGUUUUACCAUCUGUUGUUGAACAACUUCAAAAGUGGGUUCUUAUGGCUGAGGCUAUCAUUGAACAGAAUGAGAAGGAAAAUGCAGCAUUAAAAGAACAAGUAAAACAAUUUGAGUCACGAUAGCCAGAAUAUGAAGCCAAGAUGAACUCAAUGGAGGAGUGUUGGGUGAAGAAAAUUUCACGGUGAGACAAAACUCAUAAGAUUUUGCCCUGAAAGGAAUGACCGAGUAGAUGGAGCAUAAUUCUUAUACUAGAAGUUCACGAAUUUGAUUAUUGACAACACUUUUUUGGUCGACUCUGUCACACAGAGUCUUUCUAGUGUGAUUUGUCUUUUCUAUGCCAAAACUCUGAGAUUUUUCUUACAAUUUCUUCUGUCCUUGACAAAAGAAUCUAAUUAUUACCACUCAUGUUCUUGUAGGGAGAUUUAGCAGUAAAAGACUUCCAUGAAUUGCUCAUUUAGUUGAGUUAUAAGCA